GACCAUGUAGCUCAGUUGGUAGAGCAUUGGACUAGUAUCCCAAAGGUCGCAGGUUCGAUUCCCACCGUGGCCA
Molecule: transfer RNA, 73 nt
Filed under: Paramuricea clavata
Lineage: Eukaryota; Metazoa; Cnidaria; Anthozoa; Malacalcyonacea; Plexauridae
Rfam family: tRNA
About the family: Transfer RNA (tRNA) molecules are approximately 80 nucleotides in length. Their secondary structure includes four short double-helical elements and three loops (D, anti-codon, and T loops). Further hydrogen bonds mediate the characteristic L-shaped molecular structure. tRNAs have two regions of fundamental functional importance: the anti-codon, which is responsible for specific mRNA codon recognition, and the 3' end, to which the tRNAs corresponding amino acid is attached (by aminoacyl-tRNA synthetases). tRNAs cope with the degeneracy of the genetic code in two manners: having more than one tRNA (with a specific anti-codon) for a particular amino acid; and 'wobble' base-pairing, i.e. permitting non-standard base-pairing at the 3rd anti-codon position.
Source: Rfam by way of RNAcentral